RNAcentral lists this ribosomal RNA (143 nucleotides) under uncultured eukaryote. Its description in RNAcentral is "partial small subunit ribosomal RNA". It matches the Rfam family "Bacterial small subunit ribosomal RNA", at positions 1383 to 1525 of the family's 1533-position model. The record is from RNAcentral.
GUACACACCGCCCGUCAAGUCAUGGAAGCUGGUAGUGCCCGAAGUCCGUUUAGCUAACCUUUGGAGGCGACGGCCGACGGUAAGACCGGUGACUGGGACUAAGUCGUAACAAGGUAGCCGUAGGUGAACCUGCAGAAGGAUCA